RNAcentral lists this long non-coding RNA (887 nucleotides) under Mytilus galloprovincialis (Mediterranean mussel). Lineage: Eukaryota; Metazoa; Mollusca; Bivalvia; Mytilida; Mytilidae. The record is from RNAcentral.
AAAAUCAGUUUAAAAUGUUAGUUCCUAUGGCUGUAUGAUGUAUUUAUAUGAAUUUAAAGCAAAGGUCAAAAUCUAGAACGUCAUAUUAACCUAUGACCUUGACCUCAAUUUCAAGUUCACAAACCAAGGACCUUAAAUCAAAAGACCCAAGGUCUUUAAUAUGUUUGGUUUAUUAGUAAUAUCACUUUACGCGUAAUUCUAAAUGUAAGAUGGGCAAAAACUCCUAUUUAUUGCCUGCGCACCCUUUCAAUCAAAAUAUACAAGUAAGGACAUGUCGCAACUAACAAUUUAUGAAAAAUUAUUUGUCGAUAUGUCAUAAGGUAUUUGAAAAUAAAUGAAAAUAAGCCAAAAUCAAAAUUUAGAAUAUGACCUUGACCUUUGACCUUGACCUCAUUUUUAUUAUUUUGGACCAAGGACCCCAAAUCUAAAAGACCCUAUGUCUUUAUAUCACUUAUGGUUUACCAUUUAGAAAUGCAUAUCACUUAAUUUAAGGGAAAAGGGGGAAUAACUCUCAUAUGGAGUCUCCGUAAAGCUUCGGUCCAAAUGAAUAUCCUAAUCCUGAAGAUGUAACGAGCAAUUUGGUAAAAUAAAUUUGUCGUAAUCUUUAACGGUUGCGAAGGAGUAGUGGCCACAAGAAAAACAGUGUUUGGGGAGAUAACUCUUACAACGUAAAGUAUUUUGUUACACAGUUGUAAAUUUUUAAAGCGUAUAAACUAUACGAUACCAUAUUCCAAAUAUCUAAGCGACAUCUUUUGAAACAUCAAUAAUACGCAAGAAAAAAAAUUAGGCGGAAGAAAAAAAAAAAAAAAAUAAUAAUAAUAAUAAUCAGAACAAAUUCAAUAGGUCUUUCCACGGAAAGGUGGAAAGACCUAAUAAAAUGUAAAGUU